GGCAAAGUCACCGUUCAGUCAGCAUCGCGGACAGCCAGGCCCCGGGCGGCAGGACACGCUCAGCUCCAGCAGCAGAAGCGCUGAUGACACCGAGAUGGACUUGGUGAAACUCGGCAGCUGACUCUGGCUAUCACGUCUCUGAGUAGUGUUGGGCCAAAAGUAACGAAAUCUGCGAGGACCAGGCCUCAGUCACCCAUCUGGGAAAGGGGCUCCUCACCUGCCAUCAGGGUGGGAGGAGGACAGGACCCCUCAGCUGGGUGCUGCCCACCACAGAGACACCGUGCAGGUCAAGACAGAGGAGUGCUGGGCCCAGGCUGCCCACCCUGAGAGUGCUGUCACCUGGAGAGACCGAGGAGGGGAAAGAAAGAGCCAUCCACAGUCACCCUGGUGACACAGAGGCCGCCACCCGCUGUGCUCAGCCCUGGCCUUCAGGCUCUGGCGAACCUGAGCCUGCUUCCAUUCAUCUGCAAAAUGUGAAGAGGGAGAAGCUCCAGCCCCGUGCAGAGCUUCGACCCACGCAGCCCCGGGGUGCAGCCCUGAGUCCAGGCUCACAGGGCCCGGCCAGCACCCUCAGGAGCCCCUGGCUCCCACAGCUGUAACCUCACUGGGCCUCAGCUUCCUGGCGCUGCAGCGAGGACAUCUGCUGGCCCAGCCUGUGGUGCCGAGGUGCUGAGAACUGAGGCGGACAGCACCUGGCACCCAGGCUCCUCACCCCAACCAGCACAGGACCCAGUCAUCAGGUCCCCAUUCACGGGCUCGUGGGAUGUCAGGGCCCAGGCCACACAGCCGAGACGUGAGCCCAAGGCACCUGCGGAGGCAAUGAAGGGAAGCAGCACUGGUGUCUGGGGCCUGACGCCUCCCUGGGCGGGAGUGCCCUCCAUUGGCAAGUGUGCCGAGAGGUGACACGCAGCCCCAAGAGCCCAGGAAACUGAGUCACAGCUGAGACUGGCCGAGGGCCUGCGGUGCACCCAGUGCUUCUUAACCCGGCUCGUCCUCCACACCCACAGGAAGGGUUCGCCCUCUGCUUCCACCAGGGGGAUGGAGAGAUCAGGGCAAAGCCUGGGGCGGUGCACCCAUCGUCCCAGCACUCUGGGAGGCUGAGGCAGGAGGACGGCAAGCUCCAGGGCAGCCAGGGCAGCUCGAGGACUUCAACAAGGCCCUGUCUCAGAACAGGAAAUGAAAACAGGGCUGGGCAUGCGGCUCAGUGUGAAGGCCCUAGGCCCAGUCCCCAUACUGAAAAGUAGAUAAAGCCCACCUCCUCUGCUACACACACUCAUACUCGCAUGUGUGCACACACAAGUAAAUUCAGCCUUGUGCAGCCUGUUGUUAGCAGGGUUUUGUGAUUUUUAAAAAAUGGUCAGAAAUAAACAGGGACCGUCCAGGCCAGAAGGGAGGGACCAGACUUGGGGGGAGGCUGGGCAGGUCUGCAGGAGAGAGGCACACAGGGUCUUGAACAGGAAAUGCAGGGCAAGGAAGACAGCAGGAUGGACACCGGGAAGGCCAGG
This is a long non-coding RNA of Heterocephalus glaber (naked mole-rat), 1505 nucleotides long. The record is from Ensembl. NCBI's taxonomy places the organism in Eukaryota, Metazoa, Chordata, Mammalia, Rodentia, Bathyergidae.